CCUACGGGAGGCAGCAGUGGGGAAUUUUGGACAAUGGGCGCAAGCCUGAUCCAGCCAUGCCGCGUGUGUGAAGAAGGCCUUCGGGUUGUAAAGCACUUUCGGCCGGAACGAAAUCGCGCGGGUUAAUAGUCCGCGUGGAUGACGGUACCGGAAGAAGAAGCACCGGCUAACUACGUGCCAGCAGCCGCGGUAAUACGUAGGGUGCGAGCGUUAAUCGGAAUUACUGGGCGUAAAGGGUGCGCAGGCGGCGUCGCAAGUCAGGCGUGAAAUCCCCGGGCUUAACCUGGGAACUGCACUUGAAACUACGAUGCUGGAGUAUGGCAGAGGGAGGUGGAAUUCCACGUGUAGCGGUGAAAUGCGUAGAGAUGUGGAGGAACACCGAUGGCGAAGGCAGCCUCCUGGGCCAAUACUGACGCUCAUGCACGAAAGCGUGGGGAGCAAACAGGAUUAGAUACCCUGGUAGUCCACGCCCUAAACGAUGAUGACUAGUUGUUGGAGGAGUUAAAUCCUUUAGUAACGCAGCUAACGCGAGAAGUCAUCCGCCUGGGGAGUACGGUCGCAAGAUUAAAACUCAAAGGAAUUGACGG
RNAcentral lists this ribosomal RNA (587 nucleotides) under uncultured bacterium. Its description in RNAcentral is "bacterial SSU rRNA". It matches the Rfam family "Bacterial small subunit ribosomal RNA", at positions 338 to 916 of the family's 1533-position model. The record is from RNAcentral.